Molecule: ribosomal RNA, 252 nt
Filed under: uncultured bacterium
Lineage: Bacteria
Description: partial 16S ribosomal RNA
Rfam family: Bacterial small subunit ribosomal RNA
Source: RNAcentral
UACGGAGGAUGCGAGCGUUAUCCGGAUUUAUUGGGCGUAAAGCGAGCGCAGGUGGUUUAUUAAGUCUGGCGUAAAAGGCAGUGGCUCAACCAUUGUAUGCAUUGGAAACUGGUAGACUUGAGUGCAGGAGAGGAGAGUGGAAUUCCAUGUGUAGCGGUGAAAUGCGUAGAUAUAUGGAGGAACACCGGUGGCGAAAGCGGCUCUCUGGCCUGUAACUGACACUGAGGCUCGAAAGCGUGGGGAGCAAACAGG